Molecule: non-coding RNA, 54 nt
Organism: Salmo salar (Atlantic salmon)
Lineage: Eukaryota; Metazoa; Chordata; Actinopteri; Salmoniformes; Salmonidae
Source: Rfam
UGCAUUCACUACUGUAAGUUGCUCUGGAUAUGAGUGUCUGCUAAAUGACUAAAA